UACGUAGGGGGCAAGCGUUGUUCGGAUUCACUGGGCGUAAAGGGUGCGUAGGUGGUCGGGUAAGUUUAAGGUGAAAGCUCCGGGCUCAACCCGGAAAUGGCCUUGAAUACUAUCCGGCUCGAGGGUUGGAGGGGGGACUGGAAUUCUCGGUGUAGCAGUGAAAUGCGUAGAUAUCGAGAGGAACACCAGUGGCGAAGGCGAGUCCCUGGACAACACCUGACACUGAGGCACGAAAGCUAGGGGAUCAAACGGG
Molecule: ribosomal RNA, 253 nt
Filed under: uncultured bacterium
Lineage: Bacteria
Description: partial 16S ribosomal RNA
Rfam family: Bacterial small subunit ribosomal RNA
Source: RNAcentral